GCAGCCAAAGGAUCAGAUUUGGUAUCCUCACCUUCACAUCGGUGAGAUCGACGUUCCUCUUCCUGAGAUACUUCAUGAACUCCCGGAAGUUCGCCUCCGUGGGCCGGUAGUGCCCGCUAUGAGGCCACACAGCCUGAAGACGAAGGGUAACUGAAUCAGACAGGUGAGCUUGGAACUCCAAACAUGAAACUGUGACAAGAGUAGAAAUCUGCAGAUCCAGGCACCUUUAGGAUUCCGUUCACGACGACUAAUCUCCCGGCAGCAGAUGUGGCUCCACCGGCAAGGAAGCUGGAGUGCUGAAAUGUUCCCUUGCUCUUCUGCAAUAAUGUGCUUAUUUCAUCAGUUACAGAAUUUUCGUCGUGCUCAACACAAAGAUCCAUUUUGCAUCCUUGGGCCCCUCGGACGUGUCGACAAUCUUGCAGCUCAGCUUGUACAUCAUAAUCUUAUUCUCAAUUUUUACCUCAUAGAACUCCCUCUCUUUCUGCACAAAGAAACAACACCAUGUUCAGAUAUGUGACAUUUUAUGCCCUGUUUUUUUGUUUCCUUUCUUGAUCGCUAGUACUCCCUCCGUAAACUAAUAUAAGAGUGUUUAGAAUACUAAAAUAGUGAUCUAAACGCUCUUAUAUUAGUUUACAGAGGUAGUACUAACUAACAUUUUCUAAUUUGAGAUUGCAGCUGGAUUGUUCUACAGGUCGCAGCAACUUACAGGGCCAAGAUACCUGAUGCAUUGCUGCAGCAGCUUCCAUCUUGGGCAGUGGUCCUCAAGAUUAAUCUCUUUUCCUUCACCCACAUCCAACCUAUCACAAACGGAAUUUCAGAAAUCGUGAGCUUGUUUUUGUUGAUCUAGUUCACAGAUAAUGCAGAGUUCAGCAUGAACUGUACCAGUAGAAGAAAGGUUGUUGACUGUCGCAGUGAAGCCAGCUUUUGUAAUAGUAGUGGAGGUUGUGACCGUAUCGAUGCCGGGGGUCAAUCUGCCCAUGAAACACUAUGGAAUUUGAGUUUGAUGUGUUCAAUGCUAUUAUAGGAGAGUGUUUGAGGAGAAUGUUUCCGAGCCAUACUGCUUCUAGCCAAUGCUGAAGUGCGAGCUUCUGGGCCUUUUCAUCCUUGGACAAACCUUUGCCUACCUGAAGUAACAACAAAGGAACACCACCCAUAUGAAUUCAGUAUUCAGCAAUAUUACAAUAUGCUGAUGGUCCUUAAGAAAAUCUAAACAGCAUCAUUUCAGCAGAAUAUGGUUAGCUUAAAGUGACACAUACCUUGGCAGCCUUUAUUCUGGCCCGUGACCAUCUUGAGAGGGCAGUCUCUGGCUUCUCUUCCUCGAAGAAUGACACCGAACUUUGCUUGAGCAGUGCGAAAUCGAGCAGCUUCCACCUGAAUUCGGCAUCGCAAAUUUCAGGCAUCGUUACACCAGUGACAAAGAGCCACUGUAUCAAAUACAACAAUGGACGACAAGCACAUGAAAUUGUAACAUACCACCGUUGUUCGACAAGAACAGCGCAGUCAGCAAGCUGCCGUCUUGUUCUGAAGCUCUUGUAUACCUUCUGCACCCUUACUGCUGCGGCCUGGUGCUGCAGGCUGACCAUCCCGACCACCGGAGAAUUUGGUGGCAGGCUUCGUAGAGCUCACGGCAUCGGAUAUUUCCGGUGGCGAAUCAGGGGUCUCAAGGCUGCCGAGGUUGUCUAAGCUUAAGGACCGGACGAAUAGCCUGUCCGAGUUGUCAUCAUCUGCUGGCAAGUAGUCAUCCGGUGG
This is a long non-coding RNA of Triticum dicoccoides, 1749 nucleotides long. RefSeq lists it as uncharacterized. The record is from RefSeq and is a predicted model, not a curated record. The transcript is spliced from 3 exons. NCBI's taxonomy places the organism in Eukaryota, Viridiplantae, Streptophyta, Magnoliopsida, Poales, Poaceae.